CCUGCGGAGGGAUCAUUACCGAGUUUACAACUCCCAAACCCCUGUGAACAUACCUAUACGUUGCCUCGGCGGAUCAGCCCGCGCCCCGUAAAACGGGACGGCCCGCCCGAGGACCCCUAAACUCUGUUUUUAGUGGAACUUCUGAGUAAAACAAACAAAUAAAUCAAAACUUUCAACAACGGAUCUCUUGGUUCUGGCAUCGAUGAAGAACGCAGCAAAAUGCGAUAAGUAAUGUGAAUUGCAGAAUUCAGUGAAUCAUCGAAUCUUUGAACGCACAUUGCGCCCGCCAGUAUUCUGGCGGGCAUGCCUGUUCGAGCGUCAUUUCAACCCUCAAGCUCAGCUUGGUGUUGGGACUCGCGGUAACCCGCGUUCCCCAAAUCGAUUGGCGGUCACGUCGAGCUUCCAUAGCGUAGUAAUCAUACACCUCGUUACUGGUAAUCGUCGCGGCCACGCCGUUAAACCCCUAGAUUGCAAGUUU
Molecule: small RNA, 478 nt
Filed under: Fusarium incarnatum
Lineage: Eukaryota; Fungi; Ascomycota; Sordariomycetes; Hypocreales; Nectriaceae
Description: eukaryotic LSU rRNA
Rfam family: 5.8S ribosomal RNA (bases 168-321)
Source: RNAcentral